This 65-nucleotide transfer RNA is filed under the name Laomedia astacina. RNAcentral describes it as "tRNA-Pro". The record is from RNAcentral. Lineage: Eukaryota; Metazoa; Arthropoda; Malacostraca; Decapoda; Laomediidae.
CAGAGAAUAGUUUAUAAAAAAUAUUAAUUUUGGAGAUUAAAGUUGGAAGUUUUUUUCUUCUCUGA